CCAUACGACCGUACCGCAAACCGACACUGGUGCGCGAGAUGAGUAUUCUAAGGCGCUUGAGAGAACUCAGGAGAAGGAACUCGGCAAAUUGACACCGUAACUUCGGAAGAAGGUGUGCCCUAUUAGUGUGUAGUGAACAACGAAGCAUGAAUGGGUUGCAAAAAAUCGGUGGCUGCGACUGUUUAUUAAAAACACAGCACUCUGCAAACACGAAAGUGGACGUAUAGGGUGUGACGCCUGCCCGGUGCUGGAAGAUUAAAUGGUGGGGUGCAAGCUCUUGAUUGAAGUCCCAGUAAACGGCGGCCGUAACAAUAACGGUCCUAAGGUAGCGAAAUUCCUUGUCGGGUAAGUUCCGACCUGCACGAAUGGCGUAACGAUGGCCACACUGUCUCCUCCUGAGACUCAGCGAAGUUGAAAUGUUUGUGAUGAUGCAAUCUCCCCGCGGAAAGACGGAAAGACCCCAUGAACCUUUACUGUAGCUUUGUAUUGGACUUUGAACAGAUCUGUGUAGGAUAGGUGGGAGGCUUUGAAGCAGGGUCGCUAGAUCUUGUGGAGCCAACGUUGAAAUACCACCCUGGUGUGUUUGAGGUUCUAACCUAGGUCCAUUAUCUGGAUCGGGGACAGUGCAUGGUAGGCAGUUUGACUGGGGCGGUCUCCUCCCAAAGCGUAACGGAGGAGUUCGAAGGUACGCUAGUUACGGUCGGACAUCGUGACGAUAGUGCAAUGGCAUAAGCGUGCUUAACUGCGAGACUGACAAGUCGAGCAGAUGCGAAAGCAGGACAUAGUGAUCCGGUGGUUCUGUAUGGAAGGGCCAUCGCUCAACGGAUAAAAGGUACUCUGGGGAUAACAGGCUGAUACCGCCCAAGAGUUCAUAUCGACGGCGGUGUUUGGCACCUCGAUGUCGGCUCAUCUCAUCCUGGGGCUGUAGCCGGUCCCAAGGGUAUGGCUGUUCGCCAUUUAAAGAGGUACGUGAGCUGGGUUUAAAACGUCGUGAGACAGUUUGGUCCCUAUCUUCCGUGGGCGCUGCAGAUUUGAGGAAGCCUGCUCCUAGUACGAGAGGACCGGAGUGGACACACCUCUGGUGUAUCGGUUGUCACGCCAGUGGCAUUGCCGAGUAGCUAAGUGUGGAAGAGAUAACCGCUGAAAGCAUCUAAGCGGGAAACUCGUUUCAAGAUGAGAUCUGCCGGGGCCUUGAGCCCCCUAAAGAGUCGUUCAAGACCAGGACGUUGAUAGGUCAGGUGUGGAAGCGA
RNAcentral lists this ribosomal RNA (1250 nucleotides) under metagenome. Its description in RNAcentral is "bacterial LSU rRNA". It matches the Rfam family "Bacterial large subunit ribosomal RNA", at positions 1634 to 2876 of the family's 2925-position model. The record is from RNAcentral.